CGCCCGGCCCCGGCCCUGGUCCCGGCCCUCGCCUUUUUCUUUUGCCAGAGCAUUACGUCAUCCUUUUUCUCCACGUGGAGGUAGCCUGGAUAUAGUAUUUAAAGAUUCGCCCCGCUGAUUAAAAUUCCCUGUUUCUGUUCUGUUCUGUUCUGCUUUUAUAGAACAGUGCCUUCGGACCCUGAAAUACGUCAAAUGGGAGAGAGAUUUCUGCCUGAAAGACACAACCGGCUUCAUUUGCCAUAUUCAGUGAGCAAAAGACAUACUGUUGGAACAGCAUACAAAAACAGAACAAAAGGUAAAACAUGCUGUAUCCAAUGCAAAUUACACUGACCUAUGUUUUGUGUGCAAGAUAAAAAAUUGAGAAAACCAGUGACUGUAGCUCAGCUUCCCUUUUGGCAUAUUCAUUUCAAGCAGCCAAAUCUCCUUCAAGAUGUGUGCAGUAUGCCAUGCUGUGAGGAUCCUUAACCUGGAAACUCCCUCCCUUCAGUUUUCCAGAUGCUUUGUAGCUCUGUAUUUAGCCUAAGCAGAACACUCUUAGAAUUCUGCUCUCAGAUCUAAAGGACACCCAUUUGUUUCUAAGAAGUGGAAGAAACUAAGAAAAGCAAUUGUUAAGGCAUGGAGAAAAAUGGUUCUUGAAGACCAAAGUUUUGCAAUUGAUAUUUUUGUAGAGCAGAAUGACAUUACUAAUAGUUCUUGACUGUCUAAAUCUCAAUAAGCAUUUGCCGAAACCAGCAUGUAUACAAUCCUAGGAAAAGAGGAUCAUAUUUUUCACAGAUACAUGUUGCUCCUUUGAUGAAUGGCAUAGCAAUUGGGUGGAUCCAUGUUCUUUGUGGAUAUCAUAUCCCAGUUUGCACAGGGAUGUUUUGAGAUCUCUUUCUUGAUCUGCUCUAAACUUUGUUAAAAGGUGACUUACAUAACCCAGUUUUUCCAACACAUCAAAAAAAAAUGCAUGUUUCACUUCUCACUAGUGUUGCAAUAUUCAUCAGUUUAACUUUUUUUGAAAUUGGGGCUGGAAUCUGCUUGUGUAUCGCAAGAACACUACUACUGAGGAAUGGCCUUCACUGUGCAGAUUCAGAGUCAAGUGUAUUAGUUUAGUGUACCAAAUUGUUUUUACUGCAGAUUAUAAUAUUUGGUUCUCUGCCCUCCCUCCCUCACUGCACCCAACACACACCCCAGACCAAUGCUACCAAGACAUGCUUGUGCAGUAAAUAGAAUGUGUUGGUUGAAACAUUUUCAGUAUUUAGAAAACCUUUAGAAUAUGUUGCUUCUUGUUUCUACUGGUUACACCAAAUGAUUGUAAAACCAUCACUGUGUGACUGAAAAUCUCUCAUGAAUACAAAGGAAAAAGGAAUCAAAGCAAAUAAAUUAGGAAAGAAAUCACACACAAAACCCCCUAUAUAUAUAUAUAUAUA
Passer domesticus (house sparrow) is the source of this 1412-nucleotide long non-coding RNA. RefSeq lists it as uncharacterized. The transcript has 4 exons. The record is from RefSeq and is a predicted model, not a curated record. NCBI's taxonomy places the organism in Eukaryota, Metazoa, Chordata, Aves, Passeriformes, Passeridae.